Molecule: non-coding RNA, 119 nt
Organism: Triticum urartu
Lineage: Eukaryota; Viridiplantae; Streptophyta; Magnoliopsida; Poales; Poaceae
Source: Rfam
GGAUACGAUCAUACCGACACUAAAGCAUCGGAUCCCAUCAGAACUCCGAAGUUAACCGUGCUUGGAUGAGAGUAGUACUAGGAUGGGUGACCUCCUGGGAAGUCCUCGUGUUGCAUUCC